RNAcentral lists this ribosomal RNA (495 nucleotides) under uncultured bacterium. RNAcentral describes it as "partial 16S ribosomal RNA". It matches the Rfam family "Bacterial small subunit ribosomal RNA", at positions 28 to 507 of the family's 1533-position model. The record is from RNAcentral.
GACGAACGCUGGCGGCGUGCCUAAUACAUGCAAGUAGAACGCUGAAGGAGGAGCUUGCUUCUCUGGAUGAGUUGCGAACGGGUGAGUAACGCGUAGGUAACCUGCCUGGUAGCGGGGAAUAACUAUUGGAAACGAUAGCUAAUACCGCAUAAGAGUAGAUGUCGCAUGACAUUUGCUUAAAGGGUGCAAUUGCAUCACUACCAGAUGGACCUGCGUUGUAUUAGCUAGUUGGUGAGGUAACGGCUCACCAAGGCAACGAUACAUAGCCGACCUGAGAGGGUGAUCGGCCACACUGGGACUGAGACACGGCCCAGACUCCUACGGGAGGCAGCAGUAGGGAAUCUUCGGCAAUGGACGGAAGUCUGACCGAGCAACGCCGCGUGAGUGAAGAAGGUUUUCGGAUCGUAAAGCUCUGUUGUAAGAGAAGAACGAGUGUGAGAGUGGAAAGUUCACACUGUGACGGUAUCUUACCAGAAAGGGACGGCUAACUACGUG